This 1995-nucleotide long non-coding RNA is filed under the name Nicotiana benthamiana. Its description in RNAcentral is "long non-coding RNA (NBEN_LNC041699)". The record is from RNAcentral. Lineage: Eukaryota; Viridiplantae; Streptophyta; Magnoliopsida; Solanales; Solanaceae.
ACCCAAAAUUCCAAUAAACUCGAAGAACAUAAAUAUGUGAACAUGUUGUUAGUAAACUGUAUUAGUAAAACAAUUCUGAAAAUAUAAAUUAAUAUAAACAGAAAUGACAUAAACAAAAAUGAUAACAAUUUGAGGCCACUAAAUUCAUAGUGUCUCCUUAAGGAAUUUAAUCCCCUUCUAGCACCCAAGGUUAUGGAUUAUUUCNNNNNNNNNNNNNNNNNNNNNNNNNNNNNNNNNNNNNAGCACCCAAGGUUAUGGAUUAUUUCCUCCCAGGAUAGAACGAAUUACACACUAGUGUAGUGGUACUCCAAACGCCAGUGUUUCAGCGAACACAAAGAUAAGUAGCAAACCACACUUACUUUUUGCUUUGUUUGCAUGUUAAAAGUAUGCAGAAGGAGAGAAAACUCAAAAAUUCGUAGUGAAAUUCUGAGCAGAAUAGUUUUGUAUUUAUAGCCAAAAUUUGGGCUGGAAUUUGAAGAGGUGCAACUCUUCAGAAUGGUUGUUUCUGCAAAACUGCCACAGCAUAAAAUGGCUAUCUACUCAACAAUAAAGAGGAAAAAUAAAUAGGGAAAAUUGAUGGGUAGUUAAUUUUCGGUUACAAAAACAGAAAAACGGAUUGGAAAUAAUAUUAAUAUUUUAUUAUUAACAAAUAUGUAAUAACACAUUUCUGUUAAUAUUUUACUAUUAACAAAUAAAUUUGGUCUAAAAAGUUAAUCAAUCAAUCGAUCAUUUGACCGAAUACGAAUCCGAAGCCGAGCGACGACGACGCGAGGCUUGCUUUGUUCUCAACUCUUUAAGAGCUAGAAGAAGCGCAAUUGCUUAUAAACCCAUAAAAAAUCUCUUCCUCUUUCAAUAUGGGACAAUGUGGAUAUGUCAAAGGGGAAAAUAUGAAAUUACACUCAGAAAUAUCAUUUCCCUCCAUUUCUCAUUCACCAUCUUUAAAGUUUUUGAUUUAUUAAUUAAAUACAUAAACCCAUCAGAUGCAACAGUAACAAUGCCUCAAUUCCACACAAGUUGGGUUUACUGACGGAGCCAGAAUUUGAAGUUACUGGGCUCGGGAUUCUAGUUUUUUUUUUUUGUAUUGGGUUCUACAGUAAGAAUUUGUAGUUAUUCAAUGGAUUUCUUAAGACAAAGAUAGGGUUUGCACUAAAACUACUAAGUUCCACCGAACCCGUUAUCGAAGCUGUAGUUCUACCCCUAGUUGGAUCGGCUAUAUGCAGGGGCAGAGCCACAGUACGUGUUGCGGGUUCGGUCGAACCCAAGUAACUUUGUCCAAAUCCUAUAUUUAUCGCAAGAAAUUCAUUGACGUUAACGUUAACAACCCAGUAUAAUCCCACUUAGUGGGGUAUAGGGAGGGUAGUAUGUACGCAGACCUUACCCCUACCCUAGGGUAGAGAGGCUGUUUCCAAAUAGACCCCCGUCAUCCUUCCCUCCAAGAAUUUCCCACCUUGCUCUUGGGGAGACUUGAACUCGCAACCUCUUGAUUGGAAGUGAAGAUUACUUACCAUCAGAGCAACCCCUCUUGUCUAAGAAAUUCAUUGAAUAUGUACAAAUUCUUAAUUUAGAACCCAAUAACUUAAAAAAUUAAAAUUUCGAACCCAAUAACUUUAAAUUCUGGCUCCGCGACUAUAUGAAUCAUCACUGACCAUAUUUAUCCAUUUAAAUACAUUCUCUCAUAAUCAUACCAAAUAUGUGAAGAUGCACUUUUUAGAAACUUUCUAAAUGCAAAAUAGGCAAUUUAUGUACCUGCAGCCUUUCAAUAGAGCCAGACAUGAUGGUAAAUGAUGAGUAAGUUGAUUAAUAUUUUCUUAAAAUACUAGUAGUAAAUCCUAUAGUUAAAGCAGUCUAACAAAGAUAACAAAACCAGAUUUAGUAGCAUGGUUCUGAAAAUCAGCAACAAGUUUCAAUUUAAGAUAGUCUAUGCAAUCGUCCUAAGUUUAGGAAUGAUUUGGUGAUGCUUUUCCCCGGACCUUAUGUGGACAAGGAAUAUUUUGU